RNAcentral lists this ribosomal RNA (301 nucleotides) under uncultured bacterium. Its description in RNAcentral is "partial 16S ribosomal RNA". It matches the Rfam family "Bacterial small subunit ribosomal RNA", at positions 509 to 807 of the family's 1533-position model. The record is from RNAcentral.
CAGCAGCCGCGGUAAUACGAAGGGGGCUAGCGUUGUUCGGAAUUACUGGGCGUAAAGCGCACGUAGGCGGACAUUUAAGUCAGGGGUGAAAUCCCGGGGCUCAACCCUGGAACUGCCUUUGAUACUGGGUGUCUAGAGUAUGGAAGAGGUGAGUGGAAUUCCGAGUGUAGAGGUGAAAUUCGUAGAUAUUCGGAGGAACACCAGUGGCGAAGGCGGCUCACUGGUCCAUUACUGACGCUGAGGUGCGAAAGCGUGGGGAGCAAACAGGAUUAGAUACCCCUGUAGUCCCUGUCUCUUAUAC